AUGACACUCACUCCCUCAGGGUUUAGUGAAGUGUCUUGCAGUGAAAAUGUCCCAACAAGAAGAGGAAGCAUCAUGGAGAGGCUAGCAGGCGCUGUGCUGGGGCUUCUGUUUGCCCAGGUUUGCUAUGUGCGAGGGGCCGAUGUGGAGCAGAGUCCCCCAGCCCUGAGUCUCCAGGAGGGAGCCAGCUACACGCUUCGGUGUAAUUUUUCCACUUCCUCACGGAGUGUGAACUGGUAUCUUCAGAACCCUGGGGGCCGCCUCAUCCAGCUGUUUUACAUUCCUUCAGGGACAAAGCAGGAUGGAAGAUUAAAGGCCACCACAGUCCCUGCAGAACGCCGCAGCUCGCUGCACAUUUCCUCUCCGCGGACCACAGACUCGGGCACUUACUUCUGUGCUGCGCAGCACGGUGCUCCCCGGGCACCUGCCGCCUCUACACGAACCUGCAGCCGAGGCUCCAGACACGCCCUGCUGUGUAGAUGA
Molecule: non-coding RNA, 480 nt
Organism: Dama dama (fallow deer)
Lineage: Eukaryota; Metazoa; Chordata; Mammalia; Artiodactyla; Cervidae
Source: the annotation of a RefSeq genome assembly